RNAcentral lists this ribosomal RNA (440 nucleotides) under uncultured bacterium. RNAcentral's name for it is "partial 16S ribosomal RNA". It matches the Rfam family "Bacterial small subunit ribosomal RNA", at positions 338 to 795 of the family's 1533-position model. The record is from RNAcentral.
CCUACGGGUGGCAGCAGUGGGGGAUAUUGCACAAUGGGGGAAACCCUGAUCCAGCAACGCCGCGUGAGUGAAGAAGUAUCUCGGUACGUAAAGCUCUAUCAGCAGUGAAGAAAAUGACGGUAGCUGACUAAGAAGCUCCGGCUAACUACGUGCCAGCAGCCGCGGUAAUACGUAGGGGGCAAGCGUUGUCCGGAUUUACUGGGUGUAAAGGGUGCGUAGGCGGCGUUGCAAGUCAGAAGUGAAAUCCAAUGGCUUAACCAGGGAACUGCUCUUGAAACUGUAGGGCUUGAGUGAGGGAGGGGCAGGCGGAAUUCCCGGUGUAGCGGUGAAAUGCGUAGAGAUUAGGAGGAACACCAGCGGCGAAGGCGGCCUGCUGGGCUUUAACUGACGUUGAGGCUCGAAAGCGUGGGUAGCAAACAGGAUUAGAUACCCUUGUAGUC